RNAcentral lists this ribosomal RNA (1328 nucleotides) under uncultured bacterium. RNAcentral describes it as "bacterial SSU rRNA". It matches the Rfam family "Bacterial small subunit ribosomal RNA", at positions 8 to 1360 of the family's 1533-position model. The record is from RNAcentral.
AGAGUUCUAUCCUGGCUCAGGAUGAACGCUGGCGGCGUGCUUAACACAUGCAAGUCGAACGAUUAACCCGCCCUCGGGCGGUUAUAGAGUGGCAAACGGGUGAGUAACACGUGACCAACCUGCCCCUUGCUCCGGGACAACCCAGGGAAACCUCAGCUAAUACCGGAUACUCCGCGCAGCCCGCAUGGGGGGCGCGGGAGAGCCCAGACGGCAAGGGAUGGGGUCGCGGCCCAUUAGGUAGACGGCGGGGUAACGGCCCACCGUGCCCGCGAUGGGUAGCCGGGUUGAGAGACCGAUAGCCCACAUUGGGACUGAGAUACGGCCCAGACUCCUACGGGAGGCAGCAGUGGGGAAUUUUGCGCAAUGGGGGAAACCCUGACGCAGCAACGCCGCGUGUGGGACGAAGGCCUUCGGGUUGUAAACCGCUUUCAGCAGGGAAUAUAGUGAAGGUACCUGCAGAAGAAGCUCCGACUUACUACGCACCAGCAGCCGUGAUAAUAAGUAGGCAACGAUCAUCAUCGAGGAUUCAUUGGGAGUGAAGCGGGAGUAGGCGGCCCGUCUAGCGGGGUUUCUAAUCCAGGUGAUCCACCUCUGGCCGUACCCAGAACUGGCGGUCUAGAGUGCGGUAGAGGAAGGUAGAAUUCCCAGUGUAGCGGUGAAAUGCGCAGAUAUUGGGAAGAACACCGAUGGCGAAGGCAGCCUUCUGGGCCGCCACUGACGCUGAGGCGCGAAAGCUAGGGGAGCGAACAGGAUUAGAUACCCCUGGUACUCCUAGCCGUAAACGAUGGGCACUAGGUGUGGGGGAGCAUCUCCUCCGUACCGCAGCCAAUGCAUUAAGUGCCCCGCGUGGGGAGUACGACCGCAAGGCUUCAACUCAAAGGAAUUGACGCGGCCCCGCACAAGCAGCGGAGCAUGUGGUUUAAUUCGAAGCAACGCGCAGAACCUUGCCUGGGCUUGACAUGCAGGUGAAGCGGCGGAAACGCCGUGGCCGAGACGAGCCUGCGCAGGUGGUGCAUGGCUGUCGUCAGCUCGUGUCGUGAGAUGUUGGGUUAAGUCCCGCAACGAGCGCACCCCCUGUCGCGUGUUGCCAGCAUUGAGUUGGGGACUCGCGCGAGACUGCCGGCGUCAAGCCGGAGGAAGGUGGGGACGACGUCAAGUCAUCAUGCCCCUUAUGCCCUGGGCUGCACACGUGCUACAAUGGCCAGGACAACGAGCCGCCAACUCGCGAGAGUGAGCAAAUCUCUAAAACCUGGUCUCAGUUCGGAUUGCACUCUGCAACUCGAGUGCAUGAAGUCGGAAUCGCUAGUAAACGCAGAUCAGCACGCUGC